AUACUUACCUGGCAGGGGAGAUACCAUGAUCAAGAAGGUGGUUCACCCAGGGCGAGGCUCAGCCUUUGCACUCCGGCUGUGCUGACCCCUGCGAAUUCCCCAAAUGUGGGAAUCUCGACUGCAUAAUUUCUGGUAGUGGGGGACUGCGUUCGCGCUCUCCCCUG
Small nuclear RNA from Larimichthys crocea (large yellow croaker), 164 nucleotides. Its record names the gene U1. It matches the Rfam family "U1 spliceosomal RNA". Rfam says of the family: U1 is a small nuclear RNA (snRNA) component of the spliceosome (involved in pre-mRNA splicing). Its 5' end forms complementary base pairs with the 5' splice junction, thus defining the 5' donor site of an intron. NCBI's taxonomy places the organism in Eukaryota, Metazoa, Chordata, Actinopteri, Sciaenidae. The record is from Ensembl.